GUGCCAGCAGCCGCGGUAAUACGUAGGGUGCAAGCGUUAAUCGGAAUUACUGGGCGUAAAGCGUGCGCAGGCGGUUAUGUAAGACAGAUGUGAAAUCCCCGGGCUUAACCUGGGAACUGCAUUUGUGACUGCAUAGCUAGAGUACGGUAGAGGGGGAUGGAAUUCCGCGUGUAGCAGUGAAAUGCGUAGAUAUGCGGAGGAACACCGAUGGCGAAGGCAAUCCCCUGGACCUGUACUGACGCUCAUGCACGAAAGCGUGGGGAGCAAACAGGAUUAGAUACCCCAGUAGUC
RNAcentral lists this ribosomal RNA (291 nucleotides) under uncultured Curvibacter sp. RNAcentral's name for it is "partial 16S ribosomal RNA". It matches the Rfam family "Bacterial small subunit ribosomal RNA", at positions 505 to 795 of the family's 1533-position model. Lineage: Bacteria; Pseudomonadati; Pseudomonadota; Betaproteobacteria; Burkholderiales; Comamonadaceae. The record is from RNAcentral.